GGAUUCCCCUAGUAACUGCGAGUGAAGCGGGAAAAGCUCAAAUUUAAAAUCUGGCGGUUUCACCGUCCGAGUUGUAAUUUAGAGAAGUGUUACCCGUGCUGGACCGUGUACAAGUCUCCUGGAAUGGAGCGUCGUGGAGGGUGAGAAUCCCGUAUAUGACACGGACUACCAGGACUUUGUGGUGCGCUCUCGAAGAGUCGAGUUGUUUGGGAAUGCAGCUCAAAAUGGGUGGUAAAUUCCAUCUAAAGCUAAAUAUUGGGGAGAGACCGAUAGCGAACAAGUACCGUGAGGGAAAGAUGAAAAGAACUUUGGAAAGAGAGUUAAACAGUACGUGAAAUUGCUGAAAGGGAAACGCUUGAAGUCAGUCGCGUUGUGCGGGAUUCAGCCUGGCUUUUGCUUGGUGUACUUCCUGUAUGAUGGGUCAGCAUCAGUUUUGACCGGUGGAUAAGGGCGUAGGGAAUGUGGCAUCCUCGGAUGUGUUAUAGCCUUGCGUCGCAUGCAUCGGUUGGGACUGAGGAACUCAGCACGCCGCAAGGCGGGGUUUUACCACCUUCGUGCUUAGGAUGCUGGCAUAAUGGCUUUAAUCGACCC
This 591-nucleotide small RNA is filed under the name Mycena sp. 305759. RNAcentral describes it as "eukaryotic LSU rRNA". It matches the Rfam family "Eukaryotic large subunit ribosomal RNA", at positions 72 to 650 of the family's 3401-position model. Lineage: Eukaryota; Fungi; Basidiomycota; Agaricomycetes; Agaricales; Mycenaceae. The record is from RNAcentral.